Long non-coding RNA from Prinia subflava (tawny-flanked prinia), 1841 nucleotides. RefSeq lists it as uncharacterized. The record is from RefSeq and is a predicted model, not a curated record. NCBI's taxonomy places the organism in Eukaryota, Metazoa, Chordata, Aves, Passeriformes, Cisticolidae. The transcript has 3 exons.
ACCAUCACAACCAAGGAGACCAGGAGAGGAUCAACAGGAUGCCAUCGGGAUCCACGGAGUGUUUCCUCUUUUCUAAAUAAGCAUGAAAAGCUAGCAGGAAGAUUGAAGAGGAGACAUGGUUUAUGAAGCAUAUUUAGCAUUGUAUCUCUUCUAUCAUAUCUAUCCAGAACUUCUGAAUAACUCAGAGUGUGGAUGAAAUGGUAACUCAAGAUCUAUGCAAAUCUUACUGCUGUUGAUUCCCAUCUUGGUUAUUCAGCUGAUCCCACACUUCCCCAACUCUCAUCUCUUUGCCAAUAACAACUUACAGAAUUAAAAAUGUUGAAGCAUGGUCUAAAUUUUCAUGAGUGGAUAGUGAUUUAAGAUUGCUGAAACAGCUGGGAAUCAAGCACAUGAAAUUUUAUAGAUGCAAGAGCUAGCUUUCAACCAAUGAACUGCUGAAUGUUUUGGAGAAAAUAAGCUUAAAAACAACACAAGAACUGAAUCAUUCAAAUGAUGCACUAGAAAAUUCUGAAAUACAACUAAGCUUAUCUUCUCUGUUCUUUAUUCUUGUUCUGAAUUGCUGUGCAGUACAAAUUAAUCAUACUGACAGUAGUGCCAAUAUCAGGAUACAGACAAAACAAUAGACCUCAUCUUUGUGUUGAAAAUGCCAAUAGCAAAAAUUAGAUAUCAGCAUAGUUAGCAGCCCAGUCCAAUCCUUUAAGGGAUUACCUUCAGGAUAGUAAUUUUUGAAAACAACAAAUAAAAAAUUACACCCAAAUCACACACACACAAAAAAAAACCAAACAACAACAAAAAACCCAACAAAACAAAACGAAAAAAAAAAAAAAAAAAAAAAAAAAAAAAAAAAAAAAAAAAAAGGGGGAUACCAGGUACCACGUAAAGCCAGGUAAAAACAUAGCUUCACCGAUAUCCCUUAUAUCCCUUCCAGGUUUUAAAUGCAAGCAAAUUAGAGUAGCAAUUAGAGUAGCAGUCUUUUCAAAGCAGAGAACAAUAGUUGUUUGCAGAGUUGCAAUUCACAAUGGCAACAUAUUUUAAAAAAUUUUUAUUUUUACGGCAUGGAAAAUAUUUCCUGUCUAUUUCCAGCAACAGGAAAGAAUGAUGGCAUUUUGUCAGUGCAGAAAAUAAAGAAAGAGUAGAUCUACAUCAGUUUAUGGGAGCCAGUAAGAAAGUACUUCUGGACACUUGAAGGAAUGUAAAUUGAUUUGUAAGGCAUCCCCUGCUCUUUUCUUAAAUCAGUUUGGCAGGAGGAAAGGUUAGGAGCUGGGACUCUUCCCCUUUUCUAGACCCAUUGAGACUGGCAUCCCAAAGAUGGAUGCAAGUAAAAAUCCACUGAUGGCAUUUGUUUCAGAUCCUUCGCUGGUAGAACUUGAGGACCAACCUCAGUUCCAGGGAAAAUUCACCUCCACAUCUAACCCAAAUUUAGGAGCACAUUAGAUUCCUUACAUUUAUAUACUCAGCUAGGAUGACUGUUAUCAGACGGCUGAGUUAUCUCAUCACCCAGGGCUUUCACUUUCAAUGAUGAGAAGAAAUAGGUGUCUACAGUAAUUCAGUCUUAUCUAAGAACAUAGAUCAGAGUAAAAUGCCUUCUGAAAAUAUCUGUCAUUUCCUCUCUUCAUUGAACAGCAAAGUUCCUCACUUAAGCAGUUGAAAUUAGGAGAGGUAAAUCUGGGCCUGUUAGUCCCAGAGGCACUACAACCUUUAAAAGUGCUAAGGGUCUGCUUUAAACUUUGCAAAAGGAGUACCAGGGUUUUGCUCUUCUGUUAGUACAUGGUUAAAUUGUGCUCUUAAUGAUCUUCUUUCUGGUUAGUAAAAUUAUAAUUUAACAUUCUAUUUUCUCUUUA